AAACCGUGAUGCGGGCAAUCUCGUUGAUACUCCUUGAAUCUAACCCAUUCUGCUUUGAAAGCUUCAGCUGGAUCUUGGGUGAAGGUAGACAGCUUGUUUCUCAGCUC
RNAcentral lists this small nucleolar RNA (107 nucleotides) under Arabidopsis thaliana (thale cress). RNAcentral describes it as "Plant small nucleolar RNA R71". It matches the Rfam family "Plant small nucleolar RNA R71". From Rfam's summary of the family: R71 is a member of the C/D box family of snoRNAs containing the C (UGAUGA) and D (CUGA) box motifs. Multiple nearly identical copies of this snoRNA have been identified in Arabidopsis, and it is thought to function as a 2'-O-ribose methylation guide for 18S ribosomal RNA. The record is from RNAcentral. RNAcentral also lists the same sequence under 1 other name. Lineage: Eukaryota; Viridiplantae; Streptophyta; Magnoliopsida; Brassicales; Brassicaceae.